AGGAGAUAAGGAGGGGCGGUUUCAAGGCGCCCCCCACGGCGAACCCCGUUGGCCCCAGAGCAAAAGGAGAGUCAAGAGUGACUAAAUCAAAGGGAAUACGGUAAAAGGGGGGAAAUUACACGUUGUAUUAAAUGUAGAGGCUAGAUUCGCGGAAUGGUGCAAUAACAACUUUGUGUUUGGAAAAUGGAGGAGUGAACGGCAACAAGAACCGGAAAACAGCGCUGCUUCGAGGGGGCUCCUUCUUCUACAAACACGAAGAGAGAAAACUUUUGGUCAACAAAGAAGACUGGAAAGAGUGCGAUAGGUCUGUUGAGGAACUACAUUAUAACAUUUCCUCACGUAAAUGUUAAAACAUUGACGAUGUUGGAAGACCAACGUGCACGAGUCUUCCUCCGCGGUGAGGAGCCACACAUCCCGGCCGCUUUACUGUCGCCCAGUCCGGCCAGCCGAAGCAGUGUCUCCCUGCUCUGUGGACGUGGAGUUUGUGCACCAAUGUGCCAAAAUUGAAAAUGUAAUAAAUAAAUACACCAAA
Long non-coding RNA from Cottoperca gobio, 532 nucleotides. RefSeq lists it as uncharacterized. The transcript is spliced from 2 exons. Lineage: Eukaryota; Metazoa; Chordata; Actinopteri; Perciformes; Bovichtidae. The record is from RefSeq and is a predicted model, not a curated record.